GGAUCGGUAGCUCAGCGGUAGAGCAAACGCCUCUUAAGCGUAAGGUCGUGGGUUCGAUCCCCACCCGGUCCA
This 72-nucleotide transfer RNA is filed under the name Elusimicrobia bacterium CG11_big_fil_rev_8_21_14_0_20_64_6. RNAcentral's name for it is "tRNA-Lys". It matches the Rfam family "tRNA". From Rfam's summary of the family: Transfer RNA (tRNA) molecules are approximately 80 nucleotides in length. Their secondary structure includes four short double-helical elements and three loops (D, anti-codon, and T loops). RNAcentral also lists the same sequence under 1 other name. The record is from RNAcentral. Lineage: Bacteria; Pseudomonadati; Elusimicrobiota.